This 4401-nucleotide long non-coding RNA is filed under the name Canis lupus familiaris (dog). Its description in RNAcentral is "lncRNA (ENSCAFG00845015901.1)". Lineage: Eukaryota; Metazoa; Chordata; Mammalia; Carnivora; Canidae. The record is from RNAcentral.
GCGCUCUGCAUGUAGUCCCUGGCUCAUUCUUGGCCCUGAGGGUCAGAGACUAGUGAAAAGGGGGAAACCAGUCACCAAAGAAAUUCUGUCUGGAGACAGAAGUGGAUUAGAUCCCAACUGCGAAGGACCCUGAUUCUCUGGGCAUUCGUCCAGAGAAGCUUUCUGUUUACAGGCUUGCUUCCCUUUUCUGUCCUCGGCCCCCACCCCCAGCGGUGUCCCAUUUCCCAUCACCUGUCCGGUCUCCCUGAACAGCUUUUAAGUCCUGAACUAGUUCAGCUCCAUAGAGGAGCUUUUGUUAAGCAUUUGUUUGCUUGUAAGAUUUUUUUCCCCCUAUGAGAUUCGCUCAGCCUUCUGACAUUGUCAGGGGCCUCAGUGAUUGGCUUUGAACAACUGUGACCUUCGGCUGCCUGAGGACAUGUAAUGCCAUCCCUGUUGAUCCUAGAUUCAAACUCCAGGAUCCUUUCAGUCAACAGGAGGAAAUACUAGAAAUGGAUAUGGGGUCCUCCCUUCCUGCCUUUGGGGGUGUGUAAACUGAGACCUGUUCUCCCAACUAAGCUGCUUCUAGUCCAUCUUGAUGCCAGUUCCUCUAAACACACUGAUUUCCUGGAGAGGCAGAGUAAACAGGCUGUCUGGGGUAGGAGUCCGAAAACCUGCGUUCAGGCUUCUGGCACUGCUUCCACCACGUGUCCUUUGUCAAAUGCUUCAGUAACUCCCCUUCAGUAAAGAUACAGGGGUUGAAUCAAGGUGCACACAGAUUUUAGUAGCCUGAAAGAAGAAACCAAAAUUGCCAAGGUUAAAUUUGAAACAAUUGGCCAUAGAGAUAAAUGCUGGGAAAGAGCUGGCAUUGCUGUUCCUAUAAAAAAGAGUUCCGUUGCCCAUGGAUAUGAAACAAGAGUGAGCAGUGGACGCUGGUUAGCUCAUAGCCACAGGCCCAUUGAUAGAAGCUCAGCUUUCAGUCUAAGGGAGGUUAGAGUCCUGCUGUGCUCUCCUUGAGAUGACUAUGGCAUCUCCUGCCUCCAGUCAUGUCUGCCUCCAGUCCUCUCUCCAACUUGCAAUCAGAGUGAUUAUUCUUAAAAAUCUAAAUUUGGUUGUGUUGGUCUCCUACUUACCAGCCCUCAAUAGCUCCCUAAUGCCGUCAGAAUGGUCUCCUGCAUCAUCCUUCAUGAUCUGGCCCCUGGUGACCUCUCGAACCUACCUCUGGUCCUCUGCACCCCUGACUCUAGUAGUUCCAAACCAUAGGCUGUUCCCAAACCUGGUCUUUCUCUCUCUUCCUUCUAAAAUGCAGUUUGUUUCUUUCUUUCUUUCUUUCUUUUAAGAUUUUAUUUAUUUAUUCAUGAGAGACACACAGAGAGAGGCAGAGACGUAGGCAGAGGGAGAAGCAGCCUCCUCAUGGAGAACCCAAUGUGGGACUCGAUCCCAGAACUUUGGGAUCAUGCCCUGAACAGAGGCAGAUGAUCAACCACUGAGCCACCCAGGCAUCCCUAAAAUGCAGUUUCUAACACACACACACACACACACACACAAUCAGGGACAUGCACACACAUAGGCAUAUGCAUACAUGCACAUAUGUGUGUCCUGCCACCUGUCAGCUUCUCCAACCUCUUUGUUUUCAGAGCCCUCCCCACCCGUGCUGAUCCUACCAAAGCACUUCCCACACCAUACUGCAACCACUUGAGGAUACUGCACCCUCCCAUUCCAAGACAGUCCCUGGAGGCAGGUAUUACACUUUGCCUGUGCACACUCAACAUGGACUAUCUUUCUAGUAGGCACUCAGUAAAUAUUUAUAGGAUCAGUGGAAGGCUAGGCCAAAGAGUGCAUUCAGAGAAGAAUGACAAGGGCUGUGGAAAUAAGGUUGACUGGCUGGAGAAGAGAGCAUCAGGGGUGGCAUGAUAAUUCACCUUUCUGUCAAGGGCUCUCAUGGACAAGUGGGACAUAGUUUACCCUAGUCUGUCCAGAGGGGAGAAUUAGAUCUGGUGAGAGGGACACCGACAUGGUGUAGCUUUGAGAACGCUAUGGCAGGCUACGUUUGGAUGCCUUUGCAGAGAAGGGAGAGAUCCCUGGUGAUCUAGAGAGCACCCUGGCCCAGAAGGGCCUCAGCACCAUCUCAGGAGUAUGGCUAGAAGGAUCCUUGUGUUAGGUGAGGUGUUCAUCCGGAUAAUAUGGAAGGUCCUUCAGACCAUGGAUACGAAGAUCAGCAGGUCCCGAUGGUUCUGAAAGCCUGUGAUAGUCUCAUCAAGGCCACAGCACCACACAAUUUAUAAAACUGAGCAGACAUUCUAAUUUCUGAUUCUAAUUUCUCUUCCUUAGCACCUUCAGAGCAGUCUGCGUAUCCCAAAUCCACCCACAAUGCCUGGUCCACUCAGCUGUUCCCUCGGGAAAAGAAAUAGGCAGCCAGGGAAGUCAUAACUUGUCCCAGUUUUUGCAGGUAAUAGUCAGAAGCAGGAUCCUAAGGAAACUGAACUCUUGGGUUCCAGUCAUUAAAGCAGGUAGCUUUCCCAGGGGCCUGCUGAUGUUUCAUGUUUCUUACCAUUUUGCCUCUAGUCCACAUCUAAAGUGCAAGAACACAACCAUGCACAGUGGCCGUGGGGAUGACCCUGGGACUAGAUUGCGUGACCUCAGACAAGUCACUUCCUCUUUCUGUGACUAACUCAGUUUCUUUAUGUAUAAAAUGGACAUAAUAGCAGAAUUAACCUUGUAAGGAUAAGAUGGAAAUAGUACAGAGAUAUAUGAAGUGCUCAAUAAACACUGCCUGGUGUUGUUCAUACUGGGUGAGGGCAGGCCUUGGGAACACAGAGUCCAGGGCUAAAGGGGUAUGUGGCGCCUCCAGCUGUUCUCCAGACAGCUUCAGAAGUUCCUCAGAGCUUCCACCGAGAGCCAGGCCUAGGGGUAAGGGGCAGGAGAGGACAACCACUGACGCAGAAGAACCAAAUGGGGGUGUGUGCACCCAGAGGGUACCGACAUCCUGCCCUCAGUGGUCCUGAAACAACGACCCGUUAACUCUCUAGAAAGCUGAGGGCAGGGUGGGGUGGGGUGGGGUUGCCCCCACAGCCUCAUCCCCUCCCUCCCUCCGUCCGCACUAAUUCCCCACUUAUGGAUGGUCUUCCCACCAAGUGGAAGUUGGAUACAUUGAUGAUAAGCUUUUGAAAAGCAGUUUCUUUUCCUCUGAAGACAGGCUUCUUUUUCUGAAGACAGGUUUCUUGUUCUCAAAUUCCUGCCCUCCGACGUGCUUACAGGGAGGUUGCAAGGUCACAGGCCAUCAUCCGUAUGAACGUCCACCCACCCAUGCCCAUCAUGGACACGGACACAGUUAGAGAAGGGUGACACAGUGGCAACAGAAAUACAUUUGACUCUGAUCUUCCUCCUCAGGAAGUCAACAGAAUUCCAAGACUAUGGAAGACACAGCCCAGCUUUUGCCUGACAGACUCCAGGAGCCUGACGCAAGUUUUAGCAACCGUUGGAGUUUUCCAGAGGCUGGAGUCAGUCCCACUCCAGUCUACCUCCUGGUGGCCUGCGUCAGCCACCACUGGCUCCAUUGCUGCAGCCACACCUCCUUUCUAGUAGUUCCCACCUGUGACCAAGGUCACAGCUUUUCUGUUAGUACCUCAAGGGGCUAUUGCUAUUUCAAUUCAGAAUCUUCUUUGUCAAGGACUUGGAUCGAUUCCCAGUGGAGCCGAAGCCAAGGGACAGUUGACACCCCCACCCCCACCCCCAGUAUCUUGCUCAAAGGCUUUUGUAGUUCCUUUCUCAUAAGCCUGGAGAGUAUAAUUCAUCACUGUUUCAGGAUGAGGUUCAGCCUCCACCAGGGCUCUCCCCAGGGAAAGGAUGGGAGGCACACUGCCUCUGCCCUCUUUUUUGGUGUUGGAGUUUUAUCUGGCAUCCUGCAGCUCAGCUGCAUUCCCAACACUCCCUCAAAUAACUCUCCUGGUGGUCCUCGAGGUGGGCAGGGCUCCUGAAGGAGACUCUGCUGACAGCAACCUUCUACCCACGGAUGUGGAAGUGCUUCAGCCUUCCUGCACCAAGGGAUUUCUCCAAAUUCUCCAAAGAAUUUCUCUAAUUCUUCUUCUCCAAAGAAUUAGAACUUUCCUUUCCUUUUUUUUUUUAAAUAAACAUUUUAUUUAUUUAUUCAUGAGAGACACACAGAGAGAGGCAGAGACACAGGCGGAGGGAGAAGCAGGCUCCCCACGGGGAGCCUGAUGCAGAACUUGAUCCCAGGACCUGGGAUCAGGACCUGAGUCAAAGGCAGAUGCUCAACCACUGAGCCACCCGGGUACCCUUAGAAUUUUCCUUUCCUAAUUCACAAAGCAGAAGAAACAAUGUUAAUUUGGCCCAUUCUAGCUCCAAGCAGUGUUAAACUCCAACAAUAAUUGUUUAUAUUUAGAAAGAAAGAAGAAAGAAAGAAAG